Unclassified non-coding RNA from Marmota marmota marmota (Alpine marmot), 276 nucleotides. Its record names the gene 7SK. It matches the Rfam family "7SK RNA". From Rfam's summary of the family: 7SK was discovered as an abundant small nuclear RNA in the mid-70s but a possible function has only recently been suggested. Two independent studies have found that 7SK RNA binds the CDK9/cyclin T complex (known as elongation factor P-TEFb). P-TEFb activates transcription by phosphorylating the C-terminal domain of RNA polymerase II. NCBI's taxonomy places the organism in Eukaryota, Metazoa, Chordata, Mammalia, Rodentia, Sciuridae. The record is from Ensembl.
GGACAUGAAGGUAAUCUGGCUGUGAUUGGGCUGAUCUGGCUGGCUAGGUAGGUGUCCAUUUCUUAACUGUUCUAGGUAAACCCCUCCAGAAGUGUACUCAGUUGAAGAAGACCAUCUUUCUAGUUAGAGAAAGGAUGAUUUUUAGGACAAGGGUAUACUAGUAACUGUGCUUCCCUGCUAGAACCCCCAAAGAAGCUCUCAGGAAUAGCCUCUUUGUUAAUACUUUUGUUUGGAGAGGAAGAUAGAUUUUUGAUUGUUUUAAAAAUGGCUUUCUUU